Mobula hypostoma (lesser devil ray) is the source of this 385-nucleotide long non-coding RNA. RefSeq lists it as uncharacterized. The transcript is spliced from 3 exons. The record is from RefSeq and is a predicted model, not a curated record. Lineage: Eukaryota; Metazoa; Chordata; Chondrichthyes; Myliobatiformes; Myliobatidae.
UUUUGGUAUUACAGGCGAUAGGAAGUCACGGCCUUCUACACACAAGUUUGCUGAGCCGUUUUAUGAGGAGAUCGCCAUUCAGGAAACUGGGCCCGGAGUCGGAGAUUCGCAAUCCAUCAGCUCAGCAGAUAAAUUAGAAUAUUAUGUGGACGGUGAUUUGCAUGGCGACCAAAAUGAAGACAUUGAAGAAUCCCCUUUGCCGCUUGACGAAAAUUUCGGAGAAGAAUAUGACGAUAUUGAAUAAUACGCUUGAAGAAAUGCGAAUUACAAUCAUUUAGAUUGAACAUUUUAUGGUCAGUUGCAACCACCGUGCAAUUUCCCUGUAUGUUUUGUAAUUCAUUUAAUGUAAAGUUGUAAAUGGAAUUCAACCCCCUCUGUGAUUUGA